UACAGAGGUCCCAAGCGUUGUUCGGAUUCACUGGGCGUAAAGGGUGCGUAGGUGGUGAGGUAAGUCGGAUGUGAAAGCUCGGAGCUCAACUCCGAGAUGGCAUUGGAAACUACCUUGCUCGAGGGUUGGAGGGGGGACUGGAAUGCUUGGUGUAGCAGUGAAAUGCGUAGAUAUCAAGCGGAACACCAGUGGCGAAGGCGAGUCCCUGGACAACUCCUGACACUGAGGCACGAAAGCUAGGGGAGCAAACAGG
RNAcentral lists this ribosomal RNA (253 nucleotides) under uncultured bacterium. Its description in RNAcentral is "partial 16S ribosomal RNA". It matches the Rfam family "Bacterial small subunit ribosomal RNA", at positions 524 to 776 of the family's 1533-position model. The record is from RNAcentral.